This 667-nucleotide ribosomal RNA is filed under the name uncultured Piloderma. RNAcentral's name for it is "eukaryotic LSU rRNA". The stretch from base 261 to 415 matches the Rfam family "5.8S ribosomal RNA". Lineage: Eukaryota; Fungi; Basidiomycota; Agaricomycetes; Atheliales; Atheliaceae. The record is from RNAcentral.
UCUUGGUCANUUUAGAGGAAGUAAAAGUCGUAACAAGGUUUCCGUAGGUGAACCUGCGGAAGGAUCAUUAUUGAAAUUAUAGGUGACGGUUGUAGCUGGCCUUUCGGGGCAUGUGCACGCCCGAGCCCUUAAUCCACACACACCUGUGAACCCAAUGUAAGGGCCCGUAAAAAAGGCCUUUAUGUCUCAUCACCAACCUUUAUGUCUCAUAGAAUGUAAAUCUAUAUCCUCGCCUUAAAAAGCGUUGAUAAAACUUAUACAACUUUCAACAACGGAUCUCUUGGCUCUCGCAUCGAUGAAGAACGCAGCGAAAUGCGAUAAGUAAUGUGAAUUGCAGAUUUUCAGUGAAUCAUCGAAUCUUUGAACGCACCUUGCGCUCCUUGGUAUUCCGAGGAGCAUGCCUGUUUGAGUGUCAUUAAAUUCUCAACUCCGAAUCGAUUUGUUUCGACCUCGGAGCUUGGACUUUGGAGUGUGCUGGCGUCUGUCGGCUCCUCUUAAAUGCAUCAGCGGAAUGUAACCCCGGACAUCAGUGUGAUAAUCGUGUUGCGCUGUCGUCCGAGGUAUAAAAGUUCGCUCAUAAUGGUCUUCGGACAAACUUUACAAUCAAAUUUGACCUCAAAUCAGGUAGGACUACCCGCUGAACUUAAGCAUAUCAAUAAGCGGAGGA